AAAACGACUCUCGGCAACGGAUAUCUCGGCUCUCGCAUCGAUGAAGAACGCAGCGAAAUGCGAUACUUGGUGUGAAUUGCAGAAUCCCGCGAACCAUCGAGUCUUUGAACGCAAGUUGCGCCCGAAGCCUUUUGGCCGAGGGCACGUCUGCCUGGGUGUCACG
RNAcentral lists this ribosomal RNA (163 nucleotides) under Jatropha sp. JEICCG031. RNAcentral describes it as "5.8S ribosomal RNA". It matches the Rfam family "5.8S ribosomal RNA". Rfam says of the family: 5.8S ribosomal RNA (5.8S rRNA) is a component of the large subunit of the eukaryotic ribosome. It is transcribed by RNA polymerase I as part of the 45S precursor that also contains 18S and 28S rRNA. The record is from RNAcentral. Lineage: Eukaryota; Viridiplantae; Streptophyta; Magnoliopsida; Malpighiales; Euphorbiaceae. RNAcentral also lists the same sequence under 2 other names.